This 433-nucleotide ribosomal RNA is filed under the name uncultured bacterium. RNAcentral's name for it is "partial 16S ribosomal RNA". It matches the Rfam family "Bacterial small subunit ribosomal RNA", at positions 29 to 507 of the family's 1533-position model. The record is from RNAcentral.
AACGAACGCUGGCGGCAUGCCUAACACAUGCAAGUCGAACGAGACCUUCGGGUCUAGUGGCGCACGGGUGCGUACCGCGUGGGAACCUGCCCUUAGGUUCGGAAUAACUCCCCGAAAGGGGUGCUAAUACCGGAUAAUGUCUUCGGACCAAAGAUUUAUCGCCUUUGGAUGGGCCCGCGUUGGAUUAGCUAGUUGGUAGGGUAAAAGCCUACCAAGGCGAGGAUCCAUAGCUGGUCUGAGAGGAUGAUCAGCUACACUGGGACUGAGACACGGCCCAGACUCCUACGGGAGGCAGCAGUGGGGAAUAUUGGACAAUGGGCGAAAGCCUGAUCCAGCAAUGCCGCGUGAGUGAUGAAGGCCUUAGGGUUGUAAAGCUCUUUUACCCGGGAUGAUAAUGACAGUACCGGGAGAAUAAGCUCCGGCUAACUCCGUG